Long non-coding RNA from Symphalangus syndactylus (siamang), 756 nucleotides. RefSeq lists it as uncharacterized. Lineage: Eukaryota; Metazoa; Chordata; Mammalia; Primates; Hylobatidae. The record is from RefSeq and is a predicted model, not a curated record.
AAGGCAGGAGGGCCCCCAAAUAUCGUUCCCCUCCCGCAGAGGCAGCGAGAGAAAGAAAAAAAGUCGCGGAGGAGGGCGGCCCGAGCGACCUAAGGGACAGGGCAGCGCCAGCAACCGAGGGAAAUUAGUCAGGGUGGGGUACAGGGAGACAAGCCCCCAGAAUUUAGGAAACUCCGAAGCUUGGAGCUGGAGUCCCGAAUUGACUCCAAUGACAACUGCUCCGGAUCUGUGCCAGGAGCCACACCCCGGGCUGCCACGCCCGGAGGGAGGGGGGCCCUAAGACCUGCUGCAUGGAAUGCCCCCCACUCGGAAAGCCUCAGUAAACUCCAGAAUGCAACUACUGCAUGUUCCAAUCUCCCGCCACCUUCCCAGUGUCCCAGCUAGGACCCCGACCACCUUAGCAAGAACUUACCUCUCCUUUGCAGUGGAAAAGAGGGAACCCAACCUAAAACCUACUUCACGCUGUUAUAGAGAAGAAGAUACAGAAAAUGAAAAUGAAAAUAAAAUUUGGUACUACAGCACAAAGGUCCAGCUUGCAGAAUUAAUUGACUGUCUAGACGAAGAUUAUUGGGAAGCAGAACUCUGCAAAUUUCUGGAAGAAAUGCGUGAAGAAAUCCACCAACACAUGAACAUAACUGAAGACCUGACUGAUAAGGUUCGGGGCAGUAACAAAUCCUUUCUGGCGGCAGCUAAUGGUUUUAAAAACAUAUAAACCUUAAAAGUUUUAAUAGUAUAAAAGGGUAUGCUGUGAGAAAU